RNAcentral lists this transfer RNA (74 nucleotides) under [Eubacterium] siraeum DSM 15702. RNAcentral's name for it is "tRNA-Pro". It matches the Rfam family "tRNA". From Rfam's summary of the family: Transfer RNA (tRNA) molecules are approximately 80 nucleotides in length. Their secondary structure includes four short double-helical elements and three loops (D, anti-codon, and T loops). Lineage: Bacteria; Bacillati; Bacillota; Clostridia; Eubacteriales; Oscillospiraceae. RNAcentral also lists the same sequence under 2 other names. The record is from RNAcentral.
CGAGGUGUGGCUCAGUUUGGUAGAGCGCUGCGUUCGGGACGCAGAGGUCGCAAGUUCAAAUCUUGUCACCUCGA